AAUUGGUCCAACUUCACUGGAUAACAAGCGUCGAGCUAAAACAGCCUGCUCAACUAUCUCAGAAGUGGAUAAGUUUCUCUUCAGACCCAUUCUGCCGGUAUAGCAAAACUGGCAAUUCAUGGCACAACCUACUUGACUAGAUAUACAGACAGUGUUCCUGCCCCGCUCACAAGGUAUCAGAACAGUUUCUAUUACCAGACCAUCUUCCAACUUGAAUAACAUCUGUAAGAUCCUUUUUAGUUCCAUCAGACGCUGUCAGAAUAUCUUUCAAGUUUAACGUCUUAAAUUCAGCA
Molecule: unclassified non-coding RNA, 293 nt
Filed under: Hevea brasiliensis (rubber tree)
Lineage: Eukaryota; Viridiplantae; Streptophyta; Magnoliopsida; Malpighiales; Euphorbiaceae
Source: RNAcentral